Molecule: ribosomal RNA, 277 nt
Filed under: Gephyrocapsa oceanica
Lineage: Eukaryota; Haptophyta; Isochrysidales; Noelaerhabdaceae
Description: partial Bacterial large subunit ribosomal RNA
Rfam family: Bacterial large subunit ribosomal RNA
Source: RNAcentral
AGAGCCUCGCAUGUAUGUCACGGGGGGUAGAGCACUGGAUGGGCUAGGGGGGCUUACCGCCUUACCAAACCUAACCAAACUCCGAAUACCCGUGAACUUGUGCGGGAGGCACACGGUGGGUGCUAACGUCCAUCGUGAAGAGGGAAACAACCCAGACCAACAGCUAAGGCCCCCAAUUCGCGGCUAAGUGGGAAAGGAUGUGGGAAUCCCAAAACAACCAGGAGGUUGGCUUAGAAGCAGCCAUCCUUUAAAGAAAGCGUAACAGCUCACUGGUCUA